Molecule: Y RNA, 95 nt
Filed under: Cercocebus atys (sooty mangabey)
Lineage: Eukaryota; Metazoa; Chordata; Mammalia; Primates; Cercopithecidae
Description: Y RNA (ENSCATG00000001992.1)
Rfam family: Y RNA
About the family: Y RNAs are components of the Ro ribonucleoprotein particle (Ro RNP), in association with Ro60 and La proteins.
Source: Rfam by way of RNAcentral
GACUGGUCUGAUGGUAGUGGGUUAUCAGAAUUUAUUAACAUUAGUGUCACUAAAGUUAGUAUACAGCCCUCCACUGCUAAAUUUGACUGGCUUAA